GUGGGGAAUAUUGGACAAUGGGGGGAACCCUGAUCCAGCCAUGCCGCGUGUGUGAAGAAGGCCUUUUGGUUGUAAAGCACUUUAAGCGAGGAGGAGGCUACCGAGAUUAAUACUCUUGGAUAGUGGACGUUACUCGCAGAAUAAGCACCGGCUAACUCUGUGCCAGCAGCCGCGGUAAUACAGAGGGUGCAAGCGUUAAUCGGAUUUACUGGGCGUAAAGCGUGCGUAGGCGGCUUCUUAAGUCGGAUGUGAAAUCCCUGAGCUUAACUUAGGAAUUGCAUUCGAUACUGGGAAGCUAGAGUAUGGGAGAGGAUGGUAGAAUUCCAGGUGUAGCGGUGAAAUGCGUAGAGAUCUGGAGGAAUACCGAUGGCGAAGGCAGCCAUCUGGCCUAAUACUGACGCUGAGGUACGAAAGCAUGGGGAGCAAACAGGAUUAGAAACCCGAGUAGUCC
Molecule: ribosomal RNA, 451 nt
Filed under: uncultured bacterium
Lineage: Bacteria
Description: partial 16S ribosomal RNA
Rfam family: Bacterial small subunit ribosomal RNA
Source: RNAcentral